ACGGAGGGAGCGAACGUUGUUCGGAUUUACUGGGUGUAAAGGGUGCGUAGGCGGCCCUGUGUGUCGGAGGUGAAAUCCAGCGGCUCAACCGCUGGCCUGCCCCCGAAACUGCAGGGCUUGAGUCCGUGAGAGGAAGGCGGAAUUCCUGGUGUAACGGUGAAAUGUGCAGAUAUCAGGAAGAACACCCGUAGCGAAGGCGGCCUUCUGGUGCGGUACUGACGCUGAGGCACGAAAGCUAGGGUAUCGAACGGGA
RNAcentral lists this ribosomal RNA (253 nucleotides) under uncultured prokaryote. RNAcentral describes it as "partial 16S ribosomal RNA". It matches the Rfam family "Bacterial small subunit ribosomal RNA", at positions 525 to 777 of the family's 1533-position model. The record is from RNAcentral.